RNAcentral lists this ribosomal RNA (100 nucleotides) under Salmonella enterica subsp. enterica serovar Infantis. Its description in RNAcentral is "partial 23S ribosomal RNA". It matches the Rfam family "Bacterial large subunit ribosomal RNA", at positions 1 to 91 of the family's 2925-position model. RNAcentral also lists the same sequence under 8 other names. Lineage: Bacteria; Pseudomonadati; Pseudomonadota; Gammaproteobacteria; Enterobacterales; Enterobacteriaceae. The record is from RNAcentral.
GGGUUGUGAGGUUAAGCGACUAAGCGUACACGGUGGAUGCCCUGGCAGUCAGAGGCGAUGAAGGGCGUGCUAAUCUGCGAUAAGCGCCGGUAAGGUGAUA